RNAcentral lists this ribosomal RNA (915 nucleotides) under uncultured Actinomycetes bacterium. RNAcentral's name for it is "bacterial SSU rRNA". It matches the Rfam family "Bacterial small subunit ribosomal RNA", at positions 221 to 1153 of the family's 1533-position model. Lineage: Bacteria; Bacillati; Actinomycetota; Actinomycetes. The record is from RNAcentral.
AAAGAGGAGUCCGCGGCCGAUUAGCUAGUUGGCAGGGUAAAAGCCUACCAAGGCAUCGAUCGGUAGCCGGCCUGAGAGGGCACACGGCCACACUGGCACUGAAACACGGGCCAGACUCCUACGGGAGGCAGCAGUGGGGAAUCUUGCACAAUGGGGGAAACCCUGAUGCAGCGACGCCGCGUGAGCGAUGAAGCCCUUCGGGGUGUAAAGCUCUUUCGGCAGGGAAGAUUAUGACGGUACCUGCAGAAGCAGCUGCGGCUAACUACGUGCCAGCAGCCGCGGUAAUACGUAGGCAGCAAGCGUUGUUCGGAGUUACUGGGCGUAAAGGGUGUGUAGGCGGUUGUUUAAGUUUGGUGUGAAAUCUCCCGGCUCAACUGGGAGGGUGCGCCGAAUACUGAAUGACUUCGAGUGCGGGAGAGGAAAGUGGAAUUCCUGGUGUAGCGGUGAAAUGCGUAGAUAUCAGGAGGAACACCGGUGGUGUAGACGGCUUUCUGGACCGUAACUGACGCUGAGACACGAAAGCGUGGGUAGCAAACAGGAUUAGAUACCCUGGUAGUCCACGCCCUAAACGAUGCAUAUUUGGUGUGGGCAGUUCAUUCUGUCCGUGCCGGAGCUAACGCGUUAAAUAUGCCGCCUGGGGAGUACAGUCGCAAGGCUGAAACUCAAAGGAAUUGACGGGGGCCCGCACAAGCGGUGGAGCAUGUGGUUCAAUUCGACGCAACGCGAAGAACCUUACCUGGGCUCGAACGGCUUCUCAACGGCGUUGGAAACAGCGCUACCCCGCAAGGGGGUGGAGUCGAGGUGCUGCAUGGCUGUCGUCAGCUCGUGUCGUGAGAUGUUGGGUUAAGUCCCGCAACGAGCGCAACCCUUGUCCUGUGUUGCCAUCAUUCAGUUGGGAACUCGCAGGAGACCGCC